CCUACGGGUGGCAGCAGUGAGGAAUAUUGGUCAAUGGGGGAAACCCUGAUGCAGCGACGCCGCGUGAGUGAAGAAGUAUUUCGGUAUGUAAAGCUCUUUCAGCAGGGAAGAAAAUGACGGUACCUGAUUAAGAAGCCCCGGCUAACUACGUGCAAGAUGCCGCGGUAAUACGUAGGGGGCAAGCGUUAUCCGGAUUUACUGGGUGUAAAGGGAGCGUAGACGGCAGCACAAGUCUGGAGUGAAAUGCCGGGGCUUAACCCCGGAACUGGUGUGGAAACUGUUCAGCUAGAGUGCAGGAGAGGGAAGUGGAAUGCCUGGUGUAGCGGUGAAAUGCGUAGAUAUUAGGAGGAACACCAGUGGCGAAGGCGGCUUACUGGACUGUAACUGACGUUGAGGCUCGAAAGCGUGGGGAGCAAACAGGAUUAGAUACCCUAGUAGUC
RNAcentral lists this ribosomal RNA (440 nucleotides) under uncultured bacterium. RNAcentral describes it as "partial 16S ribosomal RNA". It matches the Rfam family "Bacterial small subunit ribosomal RNA", at positions 338 to 795 of the family's 1533-position model. The record is from RNAcentral.